This 407-nucleotide ribosomal RNA is filed under the name uncultured bacterium. Its description in RNAcentral is "partial 16S ribosomal RNA". It matches the Rfam family "Bacterial small subunit ribosomal RNA", at positions 28 to 526 of the family's 1533-position model. The record is from RNAcentral.
GACGAACGCUGGCGGCGUGCCUAAUACAUGCAAGUAGGACGCAGUUGCGAACGGGUGAGUAACGCGUAGGUAACUACCUAUAAGAGGGGGUUAACUAUUGGAUACGAUAGCGCAUACCGCAUACUAGUAGAUUGACCUGCGUUGUAUUAGCUAGUCGGUAGGGUAAUGGGCUACCUAGGCAAAGAUGCAUAGCGGACCCGGGAGGGUGAUCUGGCACACUGGGGCUGUUGCACGGUACUGAAGCCUACGGGAAGCAGCCUUAGGGGAUCUUUGGAAAUGGGGAGAACUCUGACUGAGCAGCGCCGCGGGAGUGAAGAAGGGUUUCGGAUAUGUAAACUCUUUAGAUAAGGGAGCGGUACUUAAGCAGAAAUGGACGGCUAACUACGUGCCAGCAGCCGCGGUAAUAC